RNAcentral lists this ribosomal RNA (492 nucleotides) under uncultured bacterium. RNAcentral describes it as "partial 16S ribosomal RNA". It matches the Rfam family "Bacterial small subunit ribosomal RNA", at positions 29 to 507 of the family's 1533-position model. The record is from RNAcentral.
AGUGAACGCUGGCGGUAGGCCUAACACAUGCAAGUCGAACGGCAGCACAGUAAGAGCUUGCUCUUACGGGUGGCGAGUGGCGGACGGGUGAGGAAUACAUCGGAAUCUACUUUUUCGUGGGGGGUAACGAAGGGAAACUAACGCUAAUACCGCAUACGACCUACGGGUGAAAGCAGGGGAUCUUCGGACCUUGCGCGAUUGAAUGAGCCGGUGUCGGAUUAGCUAGUUGGCGGGGUAAAGGCCCACCAAGGCGCCGAUCCGUAGCUGGUCUGAGAGGAUGAUCAGCCACACUGGAACUGAGACACGGUCCAGACUCCUACGGGAGGCAGCAGUGGGGAAUAUUGGACAAUGGGCGCAAGCCUGAUCCAGCCACACCGCGUGGGUGAAGAAGGCCUUCGGGUUGUAAAGCCCUUUUGUUGGGAAAGAAAAGCAGCAGGUUAAUACCCCGCUGUUCUGACGGUACCCAAAGAAUAAGCACCGGCUAACUUCGUG